UGGGGAAUCUUCCGCAAUGGGCGCAAGCCUGACGGAGCAACGCCGCGUGAGUGAAGAAGGUCUUCGGAUCGUAAAGCUCUGUUGAUGGGGACGAACGUGCCUAAUGCGAAUAGUAUUAGGUAAUGACGGUACCCAUCGAGGAAGCCACGGCUAACUACGUGCCAGCAGCCGCGGUAAUACGUAGGUGGCGAGCGUUGUCCGGAAUCAUUGGGCGUAAAGGGAGCGCAGGCGGGCAUGUAAGUCUUUCUUAAAAGUGCGGGGCUCAACCCCGUGAUGGGAAAGAAACUAUGUGUCUUGAGUACAGGAGAGGAGAGCGGAAUUCCCAGUGUAGCGGUGAAAUGCGUAGAUAUUGGGAGGAACACCAGUGGCGAAGGCGGCUUUCUGGACUGCAACUGACGCUGAGGCGCGAAAGCCAGGGGAGCGAACGGG
This 429-nucleotide ribosomal RNA is filed under the name bacterium. RNAcentral's name for it is "partial 16S ribosomal RNA". It matches the Rfam family "Bacterial small subunit ribosomal RNA", at positions 355 to 776 of the family's 1533-position model. The record is from RNAcentral.